RNAcentral lists this ribosomal RNA (461 nucleotides) under uncultured bacterium. RNAcentral describes it as "partial 16S ribosomal RNA". It matches the Rfam family "Bacterial small subunit ribosomal RNA", at positions 338 to 795 of the family's 1533-position model. The record is from RNAcentral.
CCUACGGGUGGCAGCAGUGAGGAAUAUUGGUCAAUGGGCGAGAGCCUGAACCAGCCAAGUCGCGUGAAGGAUGACGGCCCUACGGGUUGUAAACUUCUUUUGUCAGGGAGCAAUUGGGUCCACGCGUGGGCUUAGCGAGAGUACCUGAAGAACAAGCAUCGGCUAACUCCGUGCCAGCAGCCGCGGUAAUACGUAGGAGGCAAGCGUUAUCCGGAAUGACUGGGCGUAAAGGGUGCGUAGGUGGUUUGACAAGUUGGUAGCGUAACUCCGGGGCUCAACCUCGGCACUACUACCAAAACUGUCGGACUUGAGUGCAGGAGGGGCAAAUGGAAUUCCUAGUGUAGCGGUGGAAUGCGUAGAUAUUAGGAGGAACACCAGUGGCGAAGGCGAUUUGCUGGACUGUAACUGACACUGAGGCACGAAGGCGUGGGGAGCAAACAGGAUUAGAUACCCGAGUAGUC